UAACCAACGACGCGCGUGAGGACGAGAUGGAAGGCAACAUGGAACAGGUGAACACGAUGGUCGGCAACCUGCGCAACAUGGCCAUGGAUAUGGGCUCAGAGCUGGACAACCAGAACCGGCAGGUGGAGCGGAUAAGCGCCAAGAGCCAGUCGAACGAGGCCCGCCUGAAGCUGGCCAACGACCGGGCCAACAGCCUGCUGAAGAACGCGUAGGCGGCCGGGCGGCACCCGUAGGCUGCGCCCGGCAAUCCGCACCCGCCGUCAGCCCCGCCCGUCGACGCCGCGGCGGCGCCGGCCGGUCGCGAUCGGCUGGCCGGGGACGCGCCUGUGGGCGACGCCGCCUGUGGGCCGGAGACCUGUCCGCUACCGGUCAUCGGGACGGCCGGGGGGCUAGUCUGCGGUCGGCGGUCGGUGCCGUCCAGCAGCCCGUCCCUGGUCAGCCGGCACGAAUGGUGUCUCCCUCGGUCUAUCUGUGCCGGCUAGGGGGGAUAGGGGCUGUUGCCUCCCGCCUACCAGUGACACCUCGCGGCGGCGCGGCGUCGAUGCUUGCCAUCCUCUCUGCUCUCCUCCGACACCCCCUUCCUUGCCCGCCCCUGCCGUCGCCUUCCCUCUCGCCCCGUCCUGCCUGGAACCCCAGCUCGCUAGCAGCCGGCACGGCCAGCUCUGGCCGUCCGGCGCCGGUGACGUUACAUUCCGGCCGCACCACUGGCGGCGGCGGCGCGCGUGGUGAUCGCCGGCGCCGCCGCCAGCGGCGCGGUCAGCGGAGCGGAGUGCUCGCCUACAUCGAAUCGGAGGGGCCGGCGCCGCCGCCGCCGCCGCGGCCGGCGGCGCGCGCGCGGGCCGCGAUGGAACGGUUAUCAAAACACGCAGAUAACGACUCGUUUGUUACAAAUCGUAGUGAAUUCCGUUGCGACUGGUGCAACCCGUUGCUUCUACAUCGUGUGUUGUUGCGUUGUUCGUGUCGUGUGUCGGGGCAUGGGGCGUUUUGUCCCCGUUUGUAAGCGUUAGGUAGCUGGUCACUAGCCUCUAGCACGCACCGGAAUCGUCGCCGUUGGUCAGACGUCUGUGAUUGGUCGGACACGCAAUACGAGCAGUUCUCCAUUGGUGCCGGCUGCGCCUCUGCUUCCCUAUAGUAAUACUCCGUGGGAUCGGGCCUGGAGUCGUUGCGUCGGUGGGGAGGGUUUAUCAUAGGCCAACAUUAGGACGGGCUGGCCGUCGGCAUCGCAAGUCUCGAUCAAGCGGGCGGCGAGGCCCCUGCUGGCCAUACUUUCCCGUGUUUAGAGAGGGAACUGCAUCGCUCGUUGGAUGUUUGUUUGCUCCUUCGGAGACGCAAAAUACCAUGUUUACGCCGUUGUUUGCGUUGUCUGUUCAUCCUACAGCAGAUUAGGCGAUUUUACUAGCGUAUUUAUUGCCGAGCGGCGGAGCAGUAGGCUGUAGUGUAGUGUUUGCACAAGUUUAAGCGCCGUUUGUAUAAACUGUACAUAGUCACGACGGUCGUCUGCCUUUGUGGUGAUUCCUCUCGAGUUGAGCCUCGUGGUGAUUUUCCUCGUCUUUGGCCGGUCUGUAAUGCUUCCGUUGCUCGCAGUGCUGUCCGGCUAACAGUUGGACACGGCAUUAUGGAACUAUACAGCUGGCAGUUUAUCAAUAUAACCGAUAUAACAGGA
This is a long non-coding RNA of Pollicipes pollicipes, 1663 nucleotides long. RefSeq lists it as uncharacterized. The record is from RefSeq and is a predicted model, not a curated record. The transcript has 2 exons. NCBI's taxonomy places the organism in Eukaryota, Metazoa, Arthropoda, Thecostraca, Pollicipedomorpha, Pollicipedidae.